ACGUAGGUGGCAAGCGUUGUCCGGAUUUAUUGGGCGUAAAGCGAGCGCAGGCGGUUCCUUAAGUCUGAUGUGAAAGCCCACGGCUCAACCGUGGAAGGUCAUUGGAAACUGGGGAACUUGAGUGCAGAAGAGGAGAGUGGAAUUCCAUGUGUAGCGGUGAAAUGCGUAGAUAUAUGGAGGAACACCAGUGGCGAAGGCGACUCUCUGGUCUGUAACUGACGCUGAGGCUCGAAAGCGUGGGGAGCAAACAGGAUUAGAUACCCUGGUAGUCCACGCCGUAAACGAUGAGUGCUAAGUGUUGGAGGGUUUCCACCCUUCAGUGCGGCAGCUAACGCAUUAAGCACUCCGCCUGGGGAGUACGGCCGCAAGGCUG
This 373-nucleotide ribosomal RNA is filed under the name uncultured bacterium. RNAcentral describes it as "bacterial SSU rRNA". It matches the Rfam family "Bacterial small subunit ribosomal RNA", at positions 525 to 896 of the family's 1533-position model. The record is from RNAcentral.